Molecule: ribosomal RNA, 459 nt
Filed under: uncultured Lysinibacillus sp.
Lineage: Bacteria; Bacillati; Bacillota; Bacilli; Caryophanales; Bacillaceae
Description: partial 16S ribosomal RNA
Rfam family: Bacterial small subunit ribosomal RNA
Source: RNAcentral
ACGGAAGGCAGCAGUAGGGAAUCUUCCACAAUGGGCGAAAGCCUGAUGGAGCAGCGCCGCGUGAGUGAAGAAGGUUUUCGGAUCGUAAAACUCUGUUGUAAGGGAAGAACAAGUACAGUAGUAACUGGCUGUACCUUGACGGUACCUUAUUAGAAAGCCACGGCUAACUACGUGCCAGCAGCCGCGGUAAUACGUAGGUGGCAAGCGUUGUCCGGAAUUAUUGGGCGUAAAGCGCGCGCAGGUGGUCCUUUAAGUCAGAUGUGAAAGCCCGCGGCUCAACCGUGGAGGGUCAUUUGAAACUGGGGGACUUGAGUGCAGAAGAGGAAGGUGGAAUGCCAAGUGUAGCGGUGAAAUGCGUAGAGAUUUGGAGGAACACCAGUGGCGAAGGCGACUUUCUGGUCUAUAACUGACACUGAGGCGCGAAAGCGUGGGGAGCAAACAGGAUUAGAUACCCUGGUA